UACGUAGGGGGCAAGCGUUGUCCGGAAUCAUUGGGCGUAAAGAGCGCGUAGGCGGUCCGGUAAGUCCGCUGUGAAAGUCGGGGGCUCAACCCUCGAAUGCCGGUGGAUACUGCCGGGCUAGAGUCCGGAAGAGGCGAGUGGAAUUCCUGGUGUAGCGGUGAAAUGCGCAGAUAUCAGGAGGAACACCAAUGGCGAAGGCAGCUCGCUGGGACGGUACUGACGCUGAGACGCGAAAGCGUGGGGAGCGAACAGG
RNAcentral lists this ribosomal RNA (253 nucleotides) under uncultured bacterium. Its description in RNAcentral is "partial 16S ribosomal RNA". It matches the Rfam family "Bacterial small subunit ribosomal RNA", at positions 524 to 776 of the family's 1533-position model. The record is from RNAcentral.